Molecule: ribosomal RNA, 254 nt
Filed under: uncultured bacterium
Lineage: Bacteria
Description: partial 16S ribosomal RNA
Rfam family: Bacterial small subunit ribosomal RNA
Source: RNAcentral
UACGUAGGGAGCAAGCGUUGUCCGGAUUUAUUGGGCGUAAAGAGCUCGUAGGUGGUUCGAUAAGUCGGGUGUGAAAACUCUGGGCUCAACUCAGAGACGCCACUCGAUACUGUCGUGACUGGAGUCUGGUAGGGGAGUGUGGAAUUCCCAGUGUAGCGGUGAAAUGCGCAGAUAUUGGGAGGAACACCAGUGGCGAAGGCGGUUCUCUGGGCAUGUCCUGACGCUGAGGAGCGAAAGUGUGGGGAGCGAACAGG